CUGGAGGAAGCAGGAUGCCACUUAGCAGUCUCAGCUAAUUCCUGCUGGGACUGAUGGGGAGGGCCUGGCCCGUGAUAAUAGCCUGGAUUGCUCCUGCAUGCCUGCUGGGGUGUCACAGCACAGAAGACAGGAGAAGAUGAUGUUUUGGGAAACAGCGUGCUGCCUUUGCCUUUGGAGAACGAACCCAGAUACACAGCGGAGUUGAGUUCAGUACUUACACUCACCUAGUGAGCCAGGCUUUGGGUCCAGUGCUUGGAGAGGGUGCUGAGGGGCGAGACGCAGAUUCCAGGAACCUGGCCAAGUGGGAAGUGGCACAAGGGCUCACAACCGAGCCGUUCCCCUGUGCUAUCUUAUUGAACGUCUCCAUGAAUCACCCAUGGGGCAGGCAGACUCAGCCGUGCUCUGGAGGGGUAGGAGACGGAGGCUGCCGGGGCACUGUCACCUGGCACCUGGAGUCACCUACAGGACCCAAAUUCUGUGGGAUUCAAGGUCAGCCUGGGUGCGUGGCAAUAAGGCUGUAAGGAGAAACAUGAGGUGGCCGGAGACGGAGCAUCAGAGACAAGAACUGGAUGGGUCGAGAAGCCUGCCGGCUCGGAGGAACAUGCCCAGAUUGGUGCCCUGGCCCCAGGGGGAGGAUGAGCGACAGACAGAGCAGGACCAGAACGCCCCAGUCGAGCCCAGCCAAGAUCAGCCGACUCUUAGCUGAUCCAGAAUAAAUGGUGGUUGU
Molecule: long non-coding RNA, 727 nt
Filed under: Suricata suricatta (meerkat)
Lineage: Eukaryota; Metazoa; Chordata; Mammalia; Carnivora; Herpestidae
Description: lncRNA (ENSSSUG00005013160.1)
Source: RNAcentral